UGGGGAAUAUUGCACAAUGGGCGCAAGCCUGAUGCAGCCAUGCCGCGUGUGUGAAGAAGGCCUUCGGGUUGUAAAGCACUUUCAGCGGGGAGGAAGGCGUUAAGGUUAAUAACCUUGGCGAUUGACGUUACCCGCAGAAGAAGCACCGGCUAACUCCGUGCCAGCAGCCGCGGUAAUACGGAGGGUGCAAGCGUUAAUCGGAAUUACUGGGCGUAAAGCGCACGCAGGCGGUCUGUCAAGUCGGAUGUGAAAUCCCCGGGCUCAACCUGGGAACUGCAUUCGAAACUGGCAGGACAGAGGCAUGUAGAGGGGGGGAGAAGUCUACGGGUCGAGCUGACAGACGUCCAGACCUCGAGGCACAUCGUUGGCUAAGGCGGUGCCUAGGACAAAGACUGACGCUCAGGUGCGAAAGCGUGGGGAGCAAACAGG
This 429-nucleotide ribosomal RNA is filed under the name Chloroflexota bacterium. RNAcentral's name for it is "Chloroflexi bacterium partial 16S ribosomal RNA". It matches the Rfam family "Bacterial small subunit ribosomal RNA", at positions 355 to 776 of the family's 1533-position model. The record is from RNAcentral. Lineage: Bacteria; Bacillati; Chloroflexota.